ACAUGGUGCUUUAACUCAGCCUUUUUUCUCUGCCUCAAGUUCCUUUUCACAUGUCCCUUCUUGCAUUUCUCCUUUUCUAAGUCCUUUCCAAACACCAAAGCCAAAUUCUAGUCCUCCUCUGAGGAAUUACCCCAGCAUCUCCUUCCCUACACUCCCACAGCAAGGAAUUGGUCUGUACUUCCUCUGUGCUCCAGGGACACUGGACACACCCUUCAGUCACAGUGCCUAUGAUUACAUGCCAGCUAUCCAUGCGCACAUGGGUUCUCCUGUCUAGGACUGCAGACCCUUGAAAUUGAGAAACAGCUCUUAUUUCUUUCUGCAUUUGAAGAACCUAGCACAGUGCCUGAUAGAUAUUAAACUUCUAUUAUUCUUAGCAGUAGUGGUAUUCAUUGUUAUUAUCAAACUAUUAUUAACAAUAAUAGCUUUGAAAGUAUAUGAUUGCCACCUGUCCCUGACAUUCUGCUAAGCAUUUCAUUUGUUACAUUUUACCAUCAUAAGAAUCUUAGAAUGUAGAUGAUGAUACAGAUACUAUGAUAACUCCAGUUUACAGAUGAGAGGUGAAGGCACAGAGCAUGUCUGGCACCUGCUCCAGGUGUCAUGCCCCUAAGCAGCAAAGCCUGGCUACAUCUCCUGUGGACUUUCUGUACAGAUGUGAGUGGAAUUUGCUUUCUCUCUGCUCAUCAUUUACCCAAGCCCCAGCACAGUAACCCUGAAGACAUUUGAUAAAAUCUCAUUGACUUGAUGAAUGAAUGUUCUGUGAUCUCUACUCUUUGAUGUUGGUGGGAUGAACAGUGAACUUAUAUCUUGAGUCUGGAGUAAAGAAGGGAUCUAGAAGUCCUUUAACUCCCAUAUAUCAUCUUACACAUACACAGAGAGAGAGAGAGAGAGAGAGAAAGAGAGAGAGAGAGAUAGAGAGAGAGAGAGAGAGAUGGAGAGAGAGAAAGGGAAGGAGACCAGAGAAGGAUUCUAUAAAAUUCUGAUAAGAUGACCACUGGCUAUAAGCCAUAUGGUUUUAUUUCUGUAGCAGUUGCCUUUGGCUUUAGGUGAAGUUGCUGGCAUAUUCAGAAUAGUCUUUUUUUUUUCCAGAAUGGUUUUUUAGAUGUGUGUAGGCCAGAAGGGCUAGACCUUGGAGUCAGUAAACCCUGUGUGAAUUCCAGCCUUGCCAUGGCCUCUGUGUGACUUUGGGCAAGACAUCUAACUCUCUAAAGUUCAACAUAGUGACAAAUAUAUAGGUUAUAGAAGAAGAUGGCCUGGUUCAAAGCUUUCUAGGCUGUGGGAUCUUGGGAAAGAUACUUAACUUCUCUGUGCUUCAGUUUUCCCACCUGUAAAAUGGCUAUGACAUCAUUUCCCUGAUAAAGCUGAUGUGAGAAUUAAAUCAGUUCAUUUGAAGUGUUUAAAAGAGUACCUGACACCCAGAAAAUUAUAAUUAGCUCUUAGGUAAUUGUAUCUACUUCAGAGGGAUAUAGUGAGAAUUAAAUGAUUAAUGCAUUCAUGAAGCAUCUAGACUUCUAAAGCUGAGGCUCAGAGAGAGUGCAUCAUUUCCACCAUAUUCUCUUGGUUAAAGUCACAGAACAAACCUAGAUUCAGGGACUGUGGAUGGGAUGAAGGAGGGGUCUAAAGGCAGGAGGAGUGGCUCAUCAGGGCCACAAAGGCUGUGUAGCCUGUCACAGCAUUAAUAGAGGAGGUGACAUGGGCUACGGAUCUGGGUUGGUGUCAGUGGGUAUUAAAGAGGCAGAAUAGAUAUCAGUAAUUUUACCCAUCAAUGCUCAGCUCUUCCACUCUCAGAAGAGCCCCCAGGCCCUCCCCUCAGAAAUGGUUCCUCAUUUUCUACAACAUCCUAACUAACUGUUCGUAUAUGCUUCACACAAGAAAUCGGAAGAAUGCUUGAGAAAUGGACUAUUUCUAGAGACAGGUCCUCUGGCUACAAAAAAGGGAAAAAUGACAAAAGACAGAACAUUGAAAGCUAUAAUAAAACAAAACAAAAAAAUCCUACAAUGAAGGGCAGAUGAGGGCAUUUAAAGCACAGAGUGUCAUACAGACAAAUGUGUAUUUUGCAUGUGUGCUAUUUCAGUUAUCAGAAGCUAGAUUGCUGCUACAGACCCUAACUUUUCCAAUCCCUCCAUCAGUGAAGGUGAGGAGGAGGAGGUGAUAUUGAGGCUCAUCCAGGGAGGCGGGCAUGUCUUGUUGAUUAGGGAAUCCCCAUGACUGGCCCUUAAUAGGUGCUUUGUAAGUACUUGCUAAUGGUAUUGUCAGCCAUUUAUUUGAAUGGUUUGCUCUUUGCUGGUGCUAUACCAAAUGCUUGCCAAAUGUCAUGUUAUACCACUUUACAGUUUGUAAAUCCUUUUCACCAAUAUCAACUCUUUUAUCUUCACCAGAAUCACCUUUUUAUCCAUGGGAAGACAGAGGCUUGGGAAGAUAGGGACUGGCUCAGUUGGCAAAGUUGGGAUAUAAAUUCAUAUGGUUCAGUCUCCUCAUCCAGUGUUCUAGUUUCUUUCCCCAGACACCCCAGAUUAUCAGGAAUACGUGCUGAAUAUGUGCUAAGUGCCCAGGAGUCUUGGACUGGGCUCUGCUGCAUACUCAGUGAUUUUGCUCUCACUCUGUGUGGUGCAUUUUGCUAUGCCUGAUAUAAAUUCAUUUUCACAAUUGCUACAUGAUAUUGGGACUCGUGCUCAUAUUGCUGAUGAGAAAACUGAUUUCAGAGGGGUUAAGUGAAUUUCCCAAGGUUGUGCAGUUGGAAAGUGCCAGUGCUGAGAUUCAAACACAAGUCUGCAUGAUGCCUAAGGCCACAGUCUUUCCAUCCACUGCUCCCUCCUACGAGAUGGCCUCUCAGCUGUACUCCAGUUCUCUUCCCAUUAUGCUGGACUCAGAGCUCUUUCCAGCCCCAGGUGAUAAGCCUGGAAUUGAGAAUAAAGAUGUGUCCGCACUCACAGGCAGCACCAGAAUUUUCUGUGGCAAACAUCUAGAUAUACACAUAGGCAUUGGCGCUAACAUUUACUGAGCACCUCCUGUAUGCAUCCAUCAUUGGACCUGCCGUUUACAUACAGUGUUACUUUUCAAUCUCAUGUCACACUUACAAAGUUGAUACUCUUGCCCCAUUUUACAGAGGAGAGGGCAGAUACUAAGAAAGGAGAGGUACCUUUCCCAAAAUCAUUCAUGCUGCCCGACUCCAAAGCACUGUUUACUCUCUCAGUGGCCUCAGAGAGGCUUUGAAUGGUGCAGAACCUUGUCUAGGAAAACUCCAUGGAAACGAUGAUGCCUGAGCUGCACCUUGCAAAAUACCAUGCAACCAAGAUAUGUCUGCUGAGGGCCCCAUGAAUGUGUUAUUACAGCUAUGAUUCGGUUUCUAUGUACUUCUCAAAUCAGAUGUGUAAAUAUAGUCAAAAACAUUUCUCUUUGUAGCACAGACCUCCAGCAGUUUCCACUUGGCAUCCUCGUUCCAAGGAAAGAUAAUAAAUUAGUUCUAAUUAUCUUUCCUGCACACUGAGACAAGCUUCUCCUGUUUACACUUUGUAAACAGGAGAGAGAGGGGCUCAUCUAGGCUUCUCCUAAGGAAAGUGGUCUGUGAGGGGAUGGGGGUAGCAAGCAGGUCUGGCAGGUGGCUUUUGGUUCUGAAUCACCUUGGGCUGCUGUGCCCAAAGUGUUUGUACCCCUGGUAUUCAAAUGAGCUCAGAGUAGAUUCUGUCUUCUGUUAUAUAGUAAGAGUCCAUGAAUCUACUGUCCUGGAGGAUUUUUCAGCUUUUUGUUUGUUUGUUUCCGGGCCAUGCCCACGGCAUAUGGAAGUUCCCAGGCUAGGGGUUGGCAUGGUGUUUGAAUGGAAUCUUGAAAAAAGAUAGGUUUCUAAUAUAUUAAGAUGGAGGAGGAAAAAUAUUUUAGGUGGAACAGAGAGGUAGGAAAGAAAACAUGGGCAUGGAUGUGGAAGAGGCUGAUGUGUGAAAAGGAGCUGAAUGGAUCACAAGACUGGGCUCCAUAAGACUGGGCCUCCUUCAUUCAAUGGCAGAUUGUUACUGAGUGUCUACUAUGUGUCAGGCAUGGUUACAGCCUCUAAGAAUAACCCAGUGAACAGCACAGGUUCCAAGACUCCAGUCUGGUGGUUCCCAACCGAGGGCAGUUUUACUCCCAGGUGACAUUUGGCAAUGUCUGAAGAUAGUUUUACUUGUGACACUGAGGUGAUACUACUGGCAUCUAGUUAGUAGAAGCCAGAGAUGUUGCCAGAUAUCCUAUAAUAUAUACGAGAGCCUCCCCCAGCAAAUCAUUGUUGGCCCUUUUCCAGCGUCAGUAGCUCUAGUAGAAUGACAGGCGGGAGCCAGCUCCUGAAGAACCUUGCAGACCAGGCCAAAGAAUGUGCCUGUGCCUUUUCCAGAUCAGGUGGCCUCAUGCAACCAAAUGUGACAGCAGAAAAGCCGAUAGCAAACCCUUUCUGUUGCAAAUGACCUCCCAGCGCAAAAGACAUCAGUUCAGUUGCCUCAGCUCUUUUAUUACAGGCCUGGGAUGACCUGCAAAUGAAAUUCUACCACCUCUGGUUCAGAACUACUCAGAGCUUAUGAGAAUAUACAGCCCACCAAAAGGGAUGGCUUCUUCCUUCUUAAUCAAAUUAAGUAAAUAGUGUCUCUGCAGAAACUCUGCAGAGCGGAGGAAUUUAUUACAAAUGACCUAAUCUCAUGGUUCUCCCAUGAAAAGGAAACAGGCUAAACCAUGUCUAACCCUCUUCACCCUGAGCAUUUCCAAGUACGGGAGCUGGGCCAGAGUCUACUUAUUAAGUUAAGCAAUAUUUACUGGGUCUAGCUUGUAGAGUAUCAGUAUGGUGGAACUUAACUGCCUUUUAAAAUGAAAGUCUACUUUUCAUGAUUAUCUCAAGCAUCCAGUGCUAUUCUGCUCUUUUAUUGCUGGUCAAGAGGAAAACAGGGACUCAGCUGUGGCUUCCAGCUAUGACACGUGACAUGUUCACAUGUCAGUUCAAGAAAGACAAGACAGUGCUCAGGCACUUCGAGGUGGGCAUCUCAGAAACAGCAUAGGCUCUGCUAUCUGUCAUGCCAGUUUGGAUGGGCACCAGCUUUGCCUUUCACUGUGCACUCGUGGACAAAUCUCUUAACCUCUCUGAACUCUAGUCUCUUUACCAAGAAAAACAGAAAGCCAAAUGCCUCUUAGAAUUGUUACUUAGGUAAUUGUGGUGAGGAAAUGGGUAUAAAGCACCAUGCCUAGCAAGCCCUCAAUAAAUUCUAAGUGAUGUUGUCAGGUCAUUUUCCCAUCUAGAUGUCUCAGUGAAGAUGUGGGGGUGGCCAAGGGAAAAAAAAACAAAAAAAA
This 5301-nucleotide long non-coding RNA is filed under the name Sus scrofa (pig). RNAcentral describes it as "lncRNA (ENSSSCG00015024321.1)". Lineage: Eukaryota; Metazoa; Chordata; Mammalia; Artiodactyla; Suidae. The record is from RNAcentral.